RNAcentral lists this long non-coding RNA (954 nucleotides) under Homo sapiens (human). Its description in RNAcentral is "long non-coding RNA NONHSAT063946". Lineage: Eukaryota; Metazoa; Chordata; Mammalia; Primates; Hominidae. The record is from RNAcentral.
GAAUGUGGGAAAUCUUUUAACCUGUCUUCAACUUUUAUUAAACAUAAGGUAAUUCAUACUGGAGUAAAACUCUACAAAUGUGAAGAAUGUGGCAAAGUGUUUUUCUGGUCCUCAGCCCUAACUAGACAUAAGAAAAUUCAUGCUGGACAGCAACCCUACAAAUGGGAAAAAAUUGGCAAAGCCUUUAACCAGUCCUCACAUCUUACUACAGAUAAGAUAACUCAUAUUGGAGAGAAAUCUUACAAGUGUGAAUAAUAUGGAAAGCCUAAAAAAGUCCUCAAUUCUUAACAGAUAUAAGAUUAUUCAUACUGAAGAGAAACUCUACAAAUCUGAAAGAUGUGCCCAGUGCCUUUGACAGCAUCUCAAACUUUUCUAAACAAAAUCAUGCUGCUGACAAAUCCUAGAAAUGUGAAGAAUGUGACAAAGCCUUUAAAUGAUUGUUGCACUUCAUUGUAUGUAAGAUCAUUUAUACUGGAAAAAACUACCAAUGUGAACAAUGUGGCCAAGCUUCUAACCAAUGCUCAUAGCUUAUUGCACCGGUAAGCAUUUAUAUUUGAGAACAAAUGUACAAAUAUAGACAAAGCAAAAAAGCCAUUAAUACCUGCUCACAUCUUACUCAAAAUCAGAGUUCAUACUGAAUAAAAGCAUUAAAAAUCUAAUUACCGUCAAAAGAUCAGAAAAUAUGUCUUUAAAGUGCAGAAGCAUAUUUAUUUUGAAAAAGCAUUACAAAUAUGAAGAGGGUUGUAAUACAUUUACUUGUCUCACAGAUCUUAUUGUACACAUUUUGUACUAGAGGAAAACCCUGAGGCAGUUAUUAAAAUUUUGUUCAACAUCAGGGAGUUUAUAUUGAAGAAAACCCUGCAAAUGUAAUGAAUUUGGAAAAACAUUUUUUCAAAAACUACAAAUUAUGAAACACCAAAGCGUUCAUACUAAAAUAUAUUUUUGCAGAUGCAU